This 253-nucleotide ribosomal RNA is filed under the name uncultured bacterium. RNAcentral's name for it is "partial 16S ribosomal RNA". It matches the Rfam family "Bacterial small subunit ribosomal RNA", at positions 524 to 776 of the family's 1533-position model. The record is from RNAcentral.
UACGUAGGUGGCAAGCGUUGUCCGGAAUUAUUGUGCGUAAAGCGCGCGCAGGCGGUCCUUUAAGUCUGAUGUGAAAGCCCACGGCUCAACCGUGGAGGGUCAUUGGAAACUGGAGGACUUGAGUACAGAAGAGGAAAGCGGAAUUCCACGUGUAGCGGUGAAAUGCGUAGAGAUGUGGAGGAACACCAGUGGCGAAGGCGGCUUUCUGGUCUGUAACUGACGCUGAGGCGCGAAAGCGUGGGGAGCAAACAGG